AUACAGAGGGUGCAAGCGUUAAUCGGAUUUACUGGGCGUAAAGCGCGCGUAGGUGGCUAAUUAAGUCAAAUGUGAAAUUCCCGAGCUUAACUUGGGAAUUGCAUUCGAUACUGGUUAGCUAGAGUAUGGGAGAGGAUGGUAGAAUUCCAGGUGUAGCGGUGAAAUGCGUAGAGAUCUGGAGGAAUACCGAUGGCGAAGGCAGCCAUCUGGCCUAAAACUGACACUGAGGUGCGAAAGCAUGGGGAGCAAACAGGAUUAGAUACCCUGGUAGUCCAUGCCGUAAACGAUGUCUACUAGCCGUUGGGGCCCUUGAGGCUUUAGUGGCGCAGCUAACGCGAUAAGUAGACCGCCUGGGGAGUACGGUCGCAAGACUAAAACUCAAAUGAAUUGGCGGGG
Molecule: ribosomal RNA, 396 nt
Filed under: uncultured bacterium
Lineage: Bacteria
Description: partial 16S ribosomal RNA
Rfam family: Bacterial small subunit ribosomal RNA
Source: RNAcentral